CCUACGGGAGGCAGCAGUGGGGAAUAUUGGGCAAUGGGCGCAAGCCUGACCCAGCAACGCCGCGUGAAGGAAGAAGGCUUUCGGGUUGUAAACUUCUUUUCUGAGGGACGACGAAAGUGACGGUACCUCAGGAAUAAGCCACGUCUAACUACGUGCCAGCAGCCGCGGUAAUACGUAGGUGUCAAGCUUUAUCCGGAUUUAUUGGGGUUAAAGGUCGUGUAGGCGGGAAAGCAAGUCAGAUGUGAAAACUCAGGGCUCAACCCUGAGCCUGCAUUUGAAACUGUUUUUCGUGAGUGCUGGAGAGGCAAUCGGAAUUCGGGGUGUAGCGGUGAAAUGCGUAGAUAUACGGAGGAACACCAGUGGCGAAGGCGGAUUGCUGGACAGUAACUGACGCUGAGGCGCGAAAGCGUGGGGAGCAAACAGGAUUAGAUACCCGUGUAGUC
RNAcentral lists this ribosomal RNA (443 nucleotides) under uncultured bacterium. RNAcentral's name for it is "partial 16S ribosomal RNA". It matches the Rfam family "Bacterial small subunit ribosomal RNA", at positions 338 to 795 of the family's 1533-position model. The record is from RNAcentral.